This 225-nucleotide ribosomal RNA is filed under the name Stenotrophomonas maltophilia. Its description in RNAcentral is "partial 16S ribosomal RNA". It matches the Rfam family "Bacterial small subunit ribosomal RNA", at positions 54 to 269 of the family's 1533-position model. Lineage: Bacteria; Pseudomonadati; Pseudomonadota; Gammaproteobacteria; Lysobacterales; Lysobacteraceae. The record is from RNAcentral.
GGCCAACCAUGUAACUCGAACGGCAGCAAGGAGAGCUUGCUCUCUGGGUGGCGAGUGGCGGACGGGUGAGGAAUACAUCGGAAUCUACUUUUUCGUGGGGGAUAACGUAGGGAAACUUACGCUAAUACCGCAUACGACCUACGGGUGAAAGCAGGGGAUCUUCGGACCUUGCGCGAUUGAAUGAGCCGAUGUCGGAUUAGCUAGUUGGCGGGGUAAAGGCCCACC